GAAGGGUUGGCCGAGUCUGGUUUAUGGCGCCGCGUUGCUAACGCGGAGCGGGUUCGACCCCGCCGGGAGUUCGAAUCUCCCACCCUUCG
Molecule: transfer RNA, 89 nt
Filed under: Micromonospora avicenniae
Lineage: Bacteria; Bacillati; Actinomycetota; Actinomycetes; Micromonosporales; Micromonosporaceae
Rfam family: tRNA
About the family: Transfer RNA (tRNA) molecules are approximately 80 nucleotides in length. Their secondary structure includes four short double-helical elements and three loops (D, anti-codon, and T loops). Further hydrogen bonds mediate the characteristic L-shaped molecular structure. tRNAs have two regions of fundamental functional importance: the anti-codon, which is responsible for specific mRNA codon recognition, and the 3' end, to which the tRNAs corresponding amino acid is attached (by aminoacyl-tRNA synthetases). tRNAs cope with the degeneracy of the genetic code in two manners: having more than one tRNA (with a specific anti-codon) for a particular amino acid; and 'wobble' base-pairing, i.e. permitting non-standard base-pairing at the 3rd anti-codon position.
Source: Rfam by way of RNAcentral